GACGAACGCUGGCGGCGUGCUUAACACAUGCAAGUCGAACGGAAAGGCCCUGCUUUUGUGGGGUGCUCGAGUGGCGAACGGGUGAGUAACACGUGAGUAACCUGCCCUUGACUUUGGGAUAACUUCAGGAAACUGGGGCUAAUAUCGGAUAGGAGCUCCUGCUGCAUGGUGGGGGUUGGAAAGUUUCGGCGGGUGGGGAUGGACUCGCGGCUUAUCAGCUUGUUGGUGGGGUAGUGGCUUACCAAGGCUUUGACGGGUAACCGGCCUGAGAGGGUGACCGGCCACAUUGGGACUGAGAUACGGCCCAGACUCCUACGGGAGGCAGCAGUGGGGAAUAUUGCACAAUGGGCGGAAGCCUGAUGCAGCAACGCCGCGUGCGGGAUGACGGCCUUCGGGUUGUAAACCGCUUUCGCCUGUGACGAAGCGUGAGUGACGGUAAUGGGUAAAGAAGCACCGGCUAACUACGUG
RNAcentral lists this ribosomal RNA (468 nucleotides) under uncultured bacterium. RNAcentral describes it as "partial 16S ribosomal RNA". It matches the Rfam family "Bacterial small subunit ribosomal RNA", at positions 28 to 507 of the family's 1533-position model. The record is from RNAcentral.